UACGAAGGGAGCGAGCGUUGUUCGGAAUCACUGGGCUUAAAGCGUGCGUAGGCGGAUUAGUAAGUAAGAAGUGAAAUCCCAGGGCUUAACCCUGGAACUGCUUUUUCGACUGCUUGUCUGGAAUUCGGUAGAGGUUGGUGGAACUCCUAGUGUAGAGGUGAAAUUCGCAGAUAUUAGGAAGAACACCGGUGGCGAAGGCGACCAACUGGACCGAUAUUGACGCUGAGGCACGAAAGCGUGGGUAGCAAACAGG
Molecule: ribosomal RNA, 253 nt
Filed under: uncultured bacterium
Lineage: Bacteria
Description: partial 16S ribosomal RNA
Rfam family: Bacterial small subunit ribosomal RNA
Source: RNAcentral